This 501-nucleotide ribosomal RNA is filed under the name uncultured bacterium. Its description in RNAcentral is "bacterial SSU rRNA". It matches the Rfam family "Bacterial small subunit ribosomal RNA", at positions 903 to 1397 of the family's 1533-position model. The record is from RNAcentral.
AAAGGAAUAGACGGGAGCCCGCACAAGCAGUGGAGUAUGUGGUUUAAUUCGAUGCAACGCGAAGAACCUUACCGGAGCUUGACAUCCACGGAAUGAAUCGUAAUGGAAUCAGUGCCCUUCGGGGAGCCGUGAGACAGGUGGUGCAUGGUUGUCGUCAGCUCGUGUCGUGAGAUGUUGGGUUAAGUCCCGCAACGAGCGCAACCCUUAUGAUAAGUUGCUAACACGCCGCAAGGUGGUGAGCACUCUAAUCAGACUGCCGUUGACAAAACGGAGGAAGGUGGGGACGACGUCAAAUCAUCAUGCCCCUUAAGCCCCGGGCUACACACGUACUACAAUGGCGCAAACAGAGGGGAGCGAACACGCGAGUGGGAGCAAAUCCCAAAAAUGCGCCCCAGUUCGGAUUGCAGGCUGAAACUCGCCUGCAUGAAGAUGGAAUUGCUAGUAAUCGCGGAUCAGAAUGCCGCGGUGAAUACGUUCCCGGGCUUUGUACACACCGCCCGU